Molecule: transfer RNA, 787 nt
Filed under: Bartonella sp. Mt-2286.3
Lineage: Bacteria; Pseudomonadati; Pseudomonadota; Alphaproteobacteria; Hyphomicrobiales; Bartonellaceae
Description: partial 16S-23S ribosomal RNA intergenic spacer
Rfam family: tRNA (bases 150-223)
Source: RNAcentral
CAUUUAAAAAAACAGGUGUUUAGAUAUGCUUUUAAAUUCUUAUGAAUCUUAAAAGUCAUGAAUUUAAAAAAGGCUUUAUGAAGAAAGCACUUUAAGCUUUUCCAAUAAUUUAAGAUGAUACCGGGGAAGGUUUUCCGGUUUAUCCCGGAGGGCUUGUAGCUCAGUUGGUUAGAGCGCGCGCUUGAUAAGCGUGAGGUCGGAGGUUCAAGUCCUCCCAGGCCCACCAAUCACUCUAUCAAUUUGAUGAAGCGCUAGCGAGCUUGCUUAUAGGAUGUUUGCCUAUCAAAUCUGCAAACUGCUAAAAUAAAGUCUACAAACCAAUAAAGCUUAUAAAUUUGUAAGAAACUGACAUGUCUUGCUGAGUAAUGCCUUAAAGGCAUUUUUUAAAAAAACGAUCAUUUGUCAUAGGACUUCAAUGUAAUGUCAUCACUUGAAUUUUAAGAGUGAACUUGUUACUUAAAAUGAGGUUCUAUGGAUGAUGAAGCUCUAUUGAUUGAGUUCGUAGAUGAAAAGUGCUUUAUUUAUCAGAGUGUUUGAAAAGAGCAUUUAUCGUUUGCGAAGAGCAUUUGUAAAAUGGAAGAGUUUUGUUGCUUGCUUUAAGUAAUCUCGUGUCAAAGCUCUUUACAGGCAAAGGAAUCCCCUUACGGGUCUUUUAUGGAAAUGUUGUUCAAUUUUAAGAGUUUGGAAUGCGUUAUGCUAUUUUAGGGGCCGUAGCUCAGCUGGGAGAGCACCUGCUUUGCAAGCAGGGGGUCGUCGGUUCGAUCCCGUCCGGCUCCACCAUUUAGAU